Molecule: ribosomal RNA, 253 nt
Filed under: uncultured bacterium
Lineage: Bacteria
Description: partial 16S ribosomal RNA
Rfam family: Bacterial small subunit ribosomal RNA
Source: RNAcentral
UACGUAGGGGGCAAGCGUUGUCCGGAAUCAUUGGGCGUAAAGAGCGCGUAGGCGGCCCGAUAAGUCCGCUGUGAAAGUCAAGGGCUCAACCCUUGAAUGCCGGUGGAUACUGUCGGGCUAGAGUCCGGAAGAGGCGAGUGGAAUUCCUGGUGUAGCGGUGAAAUGCGCAGAUAUCAGGAGGAACACCAAUUGCGAAGGCAGCUCGCUGGGACGUUACUGACGCUGAGACGCGAAAGCGUGGGGAGCAAACAGG